This is a long non-coding RNA of Oncorhynchus tshawytscha (Chinook salmon), 377 nucleotides long. The record is from Ensembl. Lineage: Eukaryota; Metazoa; Chordata; Actinopteri; Salmoniformes; Salmonidae.
CCCAGACAACAGGGAGGGAGCUGGGCGAAGGAAACAGCCCAGACAACAGGGAGGGAGCUGGCCGAAGGAAACAGCCCAGACAACAGGGAGGGAGCUGGGCGAAAGAAACAGCCCAGACAACAGGGAGGGAGCUGGGCGAAGGAAACAGCCCAAACAACAGGGAGGGAGCUGGGCAAAGGAAACAGCCCAGACAACAGGGAGGGAGCUGGGCAAAGGAAACAGCCCAGACAACAGGGAGGGAGCUGGAAAGUGUCCAAAGUGUUGCAUCCAGUACAGAGAGCUGGGGAUGUUCUGUAGAUUGCUACCCAACUCCCGUUCCUAGAUGGCCCCCACCCUCUUCUCUCUUUCACACAUUACACACCCCCUUUCACUCCGGC